UUAGAGUUUGGACCUGGCUCAGAUUGAACGCUGGCGGCAGGCUUAACACAUGCAAGUCGAGCGGAGAGAGGUAGCUUGCUACUGAUCUUAGCGGCGGACGGGUGAGUAAUGCUUAGGAAUCUGCCUAUUAGUGGGGGACAACAUUUCGAAAGGAAUGCUAAUACCGCAUACGUCCUACGGGAGAAAGCAGGGGAUCUUCGGACCUUGCGCUAAUAGAUGAGCCUAAGUCGGAUUAGCUAGUUGGUGGGGUAAAGGCCUACCAAGGCGACGAUCUGUAGCGGGUUUGAGAGGAUGAUCCGCCACACUGGGACUGAGACACGGCCCAGACUCCUACGGGAGGCAGCAGUGGGGAAUAUUGGACAAUGGGCGCAAGCCUGAUCCAGCCAUGCCGCGUGUGUGAAGAAGGCCUUAUGGUUGUAAGGCACUUUAAGCGAGGAGGAGGCUACUUUAGUUAAUACCUAGAGAUAGUGGACGUUACUCGCAGAAUAAGCACCGGCUACUC
This 502-nucleotide ribosomal RNA is filed under the name uncultured Acinetobacter sp. Its description in RNAcentral is "bacterial SSU rRNA". It matches the Rfam family "Bacterial small subunit ribosomal RNA", at positions 1 to 502 of the family's 1533-position model. The record is from RNAcentral. Lineage: Bacteria; Pseudomonadati; Pseudomonadota; Gammaproteobacteria; Moraxellales; Moraxellaceae.